CCCUAUGGGGUGCCCCAGGCUCAUGGGAGACAACGAUCUGCCUUCCAGCGGUCUCAUGACACCCGAGGAUGUGAUCCUGAAUAGGCUGAGAUACGAAGCCCGGAGUGAGCUUGAGGCUCAGGGCAAAGGCAGAGAUCCCUUCAAGAUCGAUCUAUUUGGGAUCGAGGAUGAAGUAGAGGCUCUAGCCAAUAGCAGGUUGAAGAAAGCAAUGGCAGAGGCCGGGCUAUCAUGAUCGACAAGGCCAGGGUCUGCUUUUCUCAGCAUGAAGACCUGUCUGCAGAACAUUUCAUAGAGCUGAUUGGAAAGCGGAUCCAGGAUUGCGAAGCAUGGGAGCGAAAACUCAGAUCCCGGGGCAAUCUGAAAGAGGCCAAGAAAAUCGAGAAAUGCAAAUUACAGAUGAUGAAAUCAUUGGGAGAACUCCAGAAAUGUCAAUCACACAAGAAGAGAUAACUAAGACCUUCGACGCUAUGCAGAGC
Molecule: ribosomal RNA, 476 nt
Filed under: uncultured prokaryote
Description: partial 16S ribosomal RNA
Source: RNAcentral